ACAUAACUUCAUAUCAAUCUUUAUUCAGACUAAAACUAAGCAAAAAUCUCCUAAGGUCCUAUGCUCCUCAUUGCUCGAUCCCAAGCCUCAUAUGUUCCUCUGGAUUUGAAAAUAAAAAUAAAAGAGAGAAUGAGCUUUGUAGGCUCAAUAAGUUACAAAUAUCUCUAAUGGAUCAAGCAUUGUUAAAUUCUUUUCCAAACAUAAUAAUUAACAAUAAUAGAUAUAUAAACCAACAUAAUUUUUGUUUUCAAAAUAUGCUAUAUAUAAUAGUGUAACAAAAAAUUCUCUCUUAGUCUUUGGUGACUACAGCCAUGAUUAGUCCUAUGAC
Molecule: long non-coding RNA, 328 nt
Filed under: Elaeis guineensis (African oil palm)
Lineage: Eukaryota; Viridiplantae; Streptophyta; Magnoliopsida; Arecales; Arecaceae
Description: long non-coding RNA (EGUI_LNC038816)
Source: RNAcentral